CCAAUCGUAGCUCAGUUGGUAGAGCGGAGGGCUGUAGAUCCUUAGAUCACUGGUUCGAAUCCGGUUGGUUGGA
RNAcentral lists this transfer RNA (73 nucleotides) under Pristionchus pacificus. Its description in RNAcentral is "tRNA-Tyr (GTA) (tRNA-Tyr-GTA-9-1)". It matches the Rfam family "tRNA". Rfam says of the family: Transfer RNA (tRNA) molecules are approximately 80 nucleotides in length. Their secondary structure includes four short double-helical elements and three loops (D, anti-codon, and T loops). Lineage: Eukaryota; Metazoa; Nematoda; Chromadorea; Rhabditida; Neodiplogasteridae. The record is from Rfam by way of RNAcentral.